RNAcentral lists this ribosomal RNA (274 nucleotides) under uncultured bacterium. Its description in RNAcentral is "partial 16S ribosomal RNA". It matches the Rfam family "Bacterial small subunit ribosomal RNA", at positions 523 to 796 of the family's 1533-position model. The record is from RNAcentral.
AUACGGAGGGUGCAAGCGUUACUCGGAAUCACUGGGCGUAAAGCGCGCGCAGGCGGCUUGAUAAGUUGGAUGUGAAAGCCUACGGCUCAACCGUAGAACUGCAUCCAAAACUGUCAGGCUAGAGUGUGGGAGAGGAAGGUGGAAUUAGUUGUGUAGGGGUAAAAUCCGUAGAGAUAACUAGGAAUACCAAAAGCGAAGGCAAUCUUCUGGAACACUACUGACGCUGAGGCGCGAAGGCGUGGGGAGCAAACAGGAUUAGAAACCCUAGUAGUCC